GGGUUAGGGCGAAAGCGUUAGGUAGGGUGAAGCUGGGUAACUCCCAGAGGAGCGACGCCGCCGAGCUUCGGAGAGAGGUGAAGAGAGAGAGAGAGAGGGAGAGAGAGGGAGUUAUAUAGAGCGGAAAAAAGACGGCCGUAUAAACGCCGGGAGAAAAGGGAGGGAGAACCGUCGAGACGGCGGCCAUCAUGGGAUGCUGCGGGAAAAUGCAGAGCGAUGAAAGCGACCGACUAUGGCGUCUCUUACCGAGGAGAUAAGGAGGAACCGAGAGCAGCGUGAGCUCCGCUCUAGACGUAGGUAUGCCAGCACGGAGCUACAUAGCUACGGCUAAAAACUCUACUCAUGAGAUUAACGUAGAGAAUUAUUACGCCGUCGUAUAUAGUUGCAGUGGAAUCAUAUUAAUAAGUCACCGCAGCGCUAGUAAUAUAAGUCUGAAAAACGAUAUAUAUUGGGUACGUGCAGUGCUUUUCUCUCGCCAUCGCCGCGGACUAUACGUGAAAGGAUCAAAGUUUUGGUUGGAAAGAAUGAGAUCGGCAUCCCGGGUGCACCGAAAACAAACGAGGAGAUAAACGGAAAAGCGUCGUUAGCGAGACUCCGAGAACGAUGACAACUCAUUCGACGAAUUUAGUAGCGGCUCUAAUACCAUCGCCGCUACAACUGUAUACAUAUACUGUACAUCCUACUACAACUUGAAGCAGGGGCCGUGAUCUCAAACUGGGCGUGGGCGUCUCUCGGAACGUCGCAUCGGGGAAUGCUGCCGCUGAUACAGAGAGAAUUUUCCUCCUGGCAGCCCGGAUCUCGUUUCUCUUACAAGCGGAGAGAAUAAAAGGGCGAACCACUCUGGUAGCUGGCUCGUAGAAUUAUAUAAAUGCCCAUGGUAUUUGCCAACCACGCCUCAAAAAGUCGUUGCCGUCUAUCUCCGAAUUCCUUCUAUUGGAGUAACUUUUAUCGUGGGCCACCUUGUUACAUAUCGCAUCUGUUGCGAUUAUUCGAGUAGCGAAAAAAAAAGAAAAAAAA
RNAcentral lists this unclassified non-coding RNA (1017 nucleotides) under Athalia rosae (coleseed sawfly). Its description in RNAcentral is "misc RNA ENSAEAG00005003283.1". Lineage: Eukaryota; Metazoa; Arthropoda; Insecta; Hymenoptera; Athaliidae. The record is from RNAcentral.